AGUGAACGCUGGCGGUAGGCCUAACACAUGCAAGUCGAACGGCAGCACAGUGAGAGCUUGCUCUUACGGGUGGCGAGUGGCGGACGGGUGAGGAAUACAUCGGAAUCUACUUUUUCGUGGGGGAUAACGUAGGGAAACUUACGCUAAUACCGCAUACGACCUACGGGUGAAAGCAGGGGAUCUUCGGACCUUGCGCGAUUGAAUGAGCCGAUGCCGGAUUAGCUAGUUGGCGGGGUAAAGGCCCACCAAGGCGACGAUCCGUAGCUGGUCUGAGAGGAUGAUCAGCCACACUGGAACUGAGACACGGUCCAGACUCCUACGGGAGGCAGCAGUGGGGAAUAUUGGACAAUGGGCGCAAGCCUGAUCCAGCCAUACCGCGUGGGUGAAGAAGGCCUUCGGGUUGUAAAGCCCUUUUGUUGGGAAAGAAAAGCAGCAGGUUAAUCCCCCGCUGUUCUGACGGUACCCAAAGAAUAAGCACCGGCUAACUUCGUG
This 492-nucleotide ribosomal RNA is filed under the name uncultured bacterium. Its description in RNAcentral is "partial 16S ribosomal RNA". It matches the Rfam family "Bacterial small subunit ribosomal RNA", at positions 29 to 507 of the family's 1533-position model. The record is from RNAcentral.